Molecule: ribosomal RNA, 898 nt
Filed under: Berkeleyomyces basicola
Lineage: Eukaryota; Fungi; Ascomycota; Sordariomycetes; Microascales; Ceratocystidaceae
Description: LSU rRNA
Rfam family: Eukaryotic large subunit ribosomal RNA
Source: RNAcentral
GCAUAUCAAUAAGCGGAGGAAAAGAAACCAACAGGGAUUGCCCUAGUAACGGCGAGCGAAGCGGCAACAGCUCAAAUUUGAAAUCUGGCUAUUUUGUAGUCCGAGUUGUAAUUUGUAGAGGAUGCUUUUGGUGAGGUGCCUUCCGAGUUCCCUGGAACGGGACGCCAGAGAGGGUGAGAGCCCCGUACGGUUGGAUACCAAACCUUUGUAUAGCUCCUUCGACGAGUCGAGUAGUUUGGGAAUGCUGCUCUAAAUGGGAGGUAUAUCUCUUCUAAAGCUAAAUAUAGGCUAGAGACCGAUAGCGCACAAGUAGAGUGAUCGAAAGAUGAAAAGCACUUUGAAAAGAGAGUUAAACAGCACGUGAAAUUGUUGAAAGGGAAGCGCCUAUGACCAGACUUGUUUCUUUCAGUUUUGUUAGUUUUCGGACUGAUUUACUCUGUUAGUACAGGCCAGCAUCAGUUUGUUGUCAGGGAGAAAGGCUUAGGGAAUGUGGCUCUUUCGGGAGUGUUAUAGCCCUUUGCAUAAUACCUUUCGGCAGACUGAGGACCGCGCUUCGGCAAGGAUGCUGGCGUAAUGGUCAUCAGCGACCCGUCUUGAAACACGGACCAAGGAGUCAACCUUAUGUGCGAGUGUUUGGGUGUAAAACCCCAGCGCGUAAUGAACGUGAACGUAGGUGAGAGCUUCGGCGCAUCAUCGACCGAUUCUGAUGUUCUCGGAUGGAUUUGAGUAAGAGCACACAGGGUUGGACCCGAAAGAAGGUGAACUAUGCUUGUAUAGGGUGAAGCCAGAGGAAACUCUGGUGGAGGCUCGCAGCGGUUCUGACGUGCAAAUCGAUCGUCAAAUAUGAGCAUGGGGGGCGAAAGACUAAUCGAACCUUCUAGUAGCUGGUUUCCAGCCG